This 75-nucleotide transfer RNA is filed under the name Verrucomicrobiota bacterium. RNAcentral describes it as "Verrucomicrobia bacterium (fermentation metagenome) tRNA-Asn". It matches the Rfam family "tRNA". From Rfam's summary of the family: Transfer RNA (tRNA) molecules are approximately 80 nucleotides in length. Their secondary structure includes four short double-helical elements and three loops (D, anti-codon, and T loops). The record is from RNAcentral. Lineage: Bacteria; Pseudomonadati; Verrucomicrobiota.
UCCGCGGUAGCUCAAUGGUAGAGCGAGUGGCUGUUAACCACUAUGUUGCAGGUUCGAGUCCUGCCCGCGGAGCCA